This 497-nucleotide ribosomal RNA is filed under the name uncultured bacterium. RNAcentral describes it as "partial 16S ribosomal RNA". It matches the Rfam family "Bacterial small subunit ribosomal RNA", at positions 28 to 507 of the family's 1533-position model. The record is from RNAcentral.
GAUGAACGCUGGCGGCGUGCCUAACACAUGCAAGUCGAACGGACGGACGAUAAGCUUGUGGUUUUCAUGUUUGCGGCGGGCGGGUGUGUCACGCGUGUAUCACCUACUUAUAUUUCGGGGAUAAUCACGGAAAUCCGGAUCUAAUACCAGAGAAUAUUCUGAACCGUAGGGGUCAAAGGAGAAUUACGGCCUUUGUGUCUGUAAUAGCUGCUUCCGCGCUGCAUGAGCUAGUUGGUAAGGUAACGGCCUACCAAGGCGACGAUGCGUGGCCGACCUGAGAGGGUGGUCGGCCACACUGGAACUGAGACACGGUCCAGACUACUACGGGAGGCAGCAGUGGGGAAUAGUGGGCAAUGGGCGGAAGCCUGACACAGCCACGCCGAGUGGGUGAAGGAGGCCUUCGGGUCGGAAAGCCCUGUUGUUGGGGAAGAACAUAUGUGGAAGUAAAUGUGGACAGCUUGACGGUACCUAAUAAGAAAGCACCGGCUAACUACGUG